GAUGAACGCUAGCGGGAGGCCUAACACAUGCAAGCCGAGCGGUAGAGUUUCUUCGGAAACUUGAGAGCGGCGCACGGGUGCGUAACACGUGUGCAACCUACCUUUAUCUGGGGGAUAGCCUUUCGAAAGGAAGAUUAAUACCCCAUAAUAUAAUGAUUGGCAUCAAUUAUUAUUGAAAACUCCGGUGGAUAGAGAUGGGCACGCGCAAGAUUAGAUAGUUGGUGAGGUAACGGCUCACCAAGUCAAUGAUCUUUAGGGGUCCUGAGAGGGAGAUCCCCCACACUGGUACAGAGACACGGACCAGACUCCUACGGGAGGCAGCAGUGAGGAAUAUUGGACAAUGGGUGAGAGCCUGAUCCAGCCAGCCCGCGUGAAGGAUGACGGUCCUAUGGAUUGUAAACUUCUUUUGUACAGGGAUAAACCUACUCUCGUGAGGGUAGCUGAAGGUACUGUACGAAUAAGCACCGGCUAACUCCGUG
This 479-nucleotide ribosomal RNA is filed under the name uncultured bacterium. Its description in RNAcentral is "partial 16S ribosomal RNA". It matches the Rfam family "Bacterial small subunit ribosomal RNA", at positions 28 to 507 of the family's 1533-position model. The record is from RNAcentral.